This 506-nucleotide ribosomal RNA is filed under the name uncultured bacterium. Its description in RNAcentral is "partial 16S ribosomal RNA". It matches the Rfam family "Bacterial small subunit ribosomal RNA", at positions 29 to 523 of the family's 1533-position model. The record is from RNAcentral.
AGUGAACGCUGGCGGCAGGCCUAAUACAUGCAAGUCGAACGGCAGCACAGCAGAGCUUGCUCUGUGGGUGGCGAGUGGCGGACGGGUGAGGAAUACGUGGGAAUCUGCCCAGUCGUGAGGGAUAACGUAGGGAAACUUACGCUAAUACCGCAUGCGCCCUUUGGGGGAAAGCCGGGGAUCUUCGGACCUGGCACGAUUGGAUGAGCCCACGUCGGAUUAGCUAGUGGGAGGGGUAAAGGCCCACCAAGGCGACGAUCCGUAGCUGGUCUGAGAGGAUGAUCAGCCACACUGGAACUGAGACACGGUCCAGACUCCUACGGGAGGCAGCAGUAGGGAAUAUUGGACAAUGGGCGCAAGCCUGAUCCAGCCAUGCCGCGUGAGUGAAGAAGGCCCUCGGGUUGUAAAGCUCUUUUGUUGGGGAAGAAAAGCCUUGGGUUAAUACCCUGAGGUUCUGACGGUACCCAAAGAAUAAGCACCGGCUAACUUCGUGCCAGCAGCCGCGGUAA